CAUGCCGUAAACGAUGAGUGCUAAGUGUUAGGGGGUUUCCGCCCCUUAGUGCUGCAGCUAACGCAUUAAGCACUCCGCCUGGGGAGUACGACCGCAAGGUUGAAACUCAAAGGAAUUGACGGGGGCCCGCACAAGCGGUGGAGCAUGUGGUUUAAUUCGAUGAUACGCGAGGAACCUUACCCGGGCUCGAACGGUGCAGGAAUACAGGAGAGAUUCUGUAGCAUAGCAAUAUGUCUGCAUCGAGGUGC
Molecule: ribosomal RNA, 248 nt
Filed under: uncultured bacterium
Lineage: Bacteria
Description: partial 16S ribosomal RNA
Rfam family: Bacterial small subunit ribosomal RNA
Source: RNAcentral